CUCUUCGAUAAUUAGAAGUGAAAAGGAUUUGAUACCGGAAGUAAGAGGCGGCCAACAGUUUGACGGAACGAAAGUAAUCUCCGGCUACUCCAAAGUGCAGCAUCAAGAUCCACGUCGAGUCGUCGAUGAUGUCGAUGAUGAAGCUGCAGAUAAUUCCGGAAAAGCAACGAAACCGGAGGACGUUUCAACGGAACCCCAACUCGCUAUGUAAGAGCGAGUGUAUAUCCCAAAAACGAAAAACGAAAAAAUCAAAAGUCAA
This 259-nucleotide unclassified non-coding RNA is filed under the name Athalia rosae (coleseed sawfly). RNAcentral's name for it is "misc RNA ENSAEAG00005007024.1". Lineage: Eukaryota; Metazoa; Arthropoda; Insecta; Hymenoptera; Athaliidae. The record is from RNAcentral.